This 21-nucleotide microRNA is filed under the name Monodelphis domestica (gray short-tailed opossum). RNAcentral describes it as "mdo-miR-7368-5p". Lineage: Eukaryota; Metazoa; Chordata; Mammalia; Didelphimorphia; Didelphidae. The record is from miRBase by way of RNAcentral.
AGUAGGAGAAGGGCUGUGGAU